GGUGUUCAUUCGGAGCGGACUCGAUCUUCAUCGCUGUUUUACUUCGUGAAGUACCCUGUUCUUCUUUAUUGCAGUUGUACUAUUUCUUUCACUCUUGUUGUAUUUAUCUUGCACUGGAUUACUGUAUUUUUGCUUUGAAGUGCUGAAAUUUGUGGAACCAAUUUGUAGUUUGUGGGAGGAAUAAGGGGAUAUUUUUGAAGUGUGUUUUCAGUGCAGGUGAAUUUGUGGUAAGUAAAUCCCUUAGGGGAGGUGCUGCCGGAUUUUCCGUUGGAAGGUUCGGUGGUAUUUCCCUGGGAUCAGGGCUGUCUAGGGUUCCGGGGAAGGAAUUCUGGACGGGUCCUGACAGAGGAGAGAGAGAGAGAGAGAGAGAAACGACCGGCCGCCGGAAAUCGUCCAAUUUUUCCGGCCGAUUCUUGCUACACUCGCCGGCCAGACAGGAGCGCCAUCCCAUUUCUGGUCAAACCCUGAAAUUUCACGAUCGACGGUCGCCGGAUGCUCCCGGAUCGAGGCGGCGAAGCUCGGCAGUGAUUUUUCCCUCCACCGCCGGCCACUGCCAUUUGACCCCUUUUCGGUCAUUUUCAGGCCACACGCGCCAGCCACCCCUCACCACCUCCUCAUUUCCGGCUAGCCCACCAAAUUUCACGGCCACCGGACCUCCGACGCAUCCGGCCUCUCCGCGAUCUCUCCGCCGUCCGGCCUCCGUUUGCCUCACCGCCGGUCCCGUUGGAAUCCUCUCCCCUCGAUCUAUAAAACCGCCAAAAAUCCCAGCCAACGGCCACCGCACGCGCCGUCGCAGGUGACGGUUGCCGGUGACCGCGGCUGCUCGCCGGACGUCAUUGUUCCGGCGAGUACCAGUUGCACCGCCGGUCCUUGUCCACUAAUUCCGACUUCCUGAAUCCAAAUUCGACAUCCUUUUCCGCCAAUUCGCGACGGUUUGGGAGAAUUGAGGAGUCGAAUCUCGAAAGCUUUCCGGUGAGAUUCCGACUACCUCGGGUCCAAUCUCUGGAAAGUAAGAUCGAAUCCGUGAUCCUCAUCACUCAAGCUUCGAUUCGGUGCGCGUACGAGUAGUGGAGUUGAUCCUGAGGAGGAUCUUAGCUGAUAUACGCGCUUAAGCGCGCAAGUAUUAUGUCUCCCGUGAGUUGCCAUUGGACCGUGGGCAGGCAAGUUUGAUAUUGGCCACAGCCACCCCCCUCCUUGGCCGGGAUGACGGUUUCAGCAGCGGUACUGUCGGGACGCCGAAGUGCCGUUUGCAAGUUUCUCUCUUUAAUCUCCCCGCCAGUCGAUGCUCAGGACGCUGGAUAUCGGAGGGCAUCAUCGGUAUAUGUUGUGGUGCGUCAAGUGUGCAAGGGUGGUAGAUGUUCUUCCGGAGCGAACCAAUUCUCCGCCGCUAUCGUGUUUCGAGAAGUACUUUUGUACUCCUUCAUUUCAGCUGUAUUAUUUCUUUUAUCUUUGUUGUAUUUUCUGUUGAUUAGCACUUCAUAAAGCUCUGUAUACUAUUUGGACACUUAUGUUUUAUUUAUGCAUUGGGUUGCUGAUAUUGUUGUGAAGUGCUGUAAAUUGUGGAAUCAUUUGUAGUUUUGCGGGAGGAAUAAGGGGAUGAAUAUAGAAGUGUGUUUUCAGUCCAGGUAAUUUUUGGUAAGUCCUA
Long non-coding RNA from Ziziphus jujuba (common jujube), 1645 nucleotides. RefSeq lists it as uncharacterized. Lineage: Eukaryota; Viridiplantae; Streptophyta; Magnoliopsida; Rosales; Rhamnaceae. The transcript is spliced from 4 exons. The record is from RefSeq and is a predicted model, not a curated record.